UUUUUAACGUUAGCAUUUCUAGGACGCGUUCAUUAAUUUUUAUAUAAAAAUUCAAAAAUCACAGCCACCACCAGUAUGGUCUGGUUUCGUCUUCAAUGAAACUAGAAUAUGAGAGAGAGGAAGAAGAAGAUAACAAAAGGGAAAAUCAGCUUCUUGACUGGACUACUAUGAAGAUUGGCAAUGCAUUUGGAAAGAAGUGGAUAUCAAUGACUAACGAGAAUGGCGUGGCGGAUUUUAUGGUAGAUAACAUUGAUGAAACUUUGGUCUUUAACCAAUCUCAAUGACAUCAUGUAGCUGACCUAUCUGGUGGGAUAAAGUUUUGUUGUUCUUGUUGGAAGGACAAGAUAGUGCGUGGGGUUUUAUCUUGGACUCCCUCAACCACAACAACUACCUUUUGUGGAGAAGGUUAAAUACUAUGAUAUAGCAUCAGAAAAGCGUAUAGAAUUUGAUAGAGCAAUGGCAGAAUUUAACAAUAAAAUGGAAAGUGGGGAGUAGGAUGAAAUUGAUGAGUAAAGCCACCUUAUUUUUCUAUAGUCAUUUUUUCUUUUGAUUCUGUCGUCAUUUUCUCUGGGUUGCAUAUUCUUUUAAGUGUUUGCAUCUAUUGAGAGAUUGGAAUUUAACAUUUAAUUGUUCAAAAGUGGAGGAAAAAAGGGUAAAUAGAUGAUAAAAGUUGGAUGGGAUUCUGUUCUUGAUAUUUAUGUGAUGGCUUCUCAAACUUUAGACCAGGAACUAAAUACUAUGAUGGCAUUUCGAAGUUCUAAUGGGUCUAUAGGUUUAUUCCAACACUUGAAGAUUCUUAAUGCUUUCAGGCAACCUUUUCACAUUACUUCCAUCUAGCCUUAGUUCUUGCAAUUGUGAUAAGACACUGAUGUUGUCGGGUAGUUCAAACAAGUUACUACAACCCUUCCAAUAUAGUAUUUGUAGGGGCCUUAACCCAUCAAACAGGACAUGUAGUUGAUGUUUGUCAAUUACAAAUCCACUAUCCGAAAGCUUCAACUCCUUGAGAGAUAUCAAGCAUGAUAACUCCAUUAAAAGAUGCCCGAGUCUUAAACCCUCCAGAUUGAGCCACUUAAGAUUAUGCGUACGCCCUAUUGAUAUGUUCAAUGUUUGGAUUCCUGUAUUGCUCAAAUCCAAGUUUUCAAUUAAAUCUGAUGACUCUGCAAAUUUCUCCAAACUUGAGCAGCCUUUGACACUGAUCUUCUCUAGAGAUUUUAAAUGCUUCUCACCUUCUACUCUCUCAAGCUUUGGACACCUAUCGAGUAUCAAAGUAACAGGCGUGUCGGAGGAUAAAACAGAAGGAUGAAGACACCGCAAACUUUCACAACCAGAGAGAUUCACCCAUUUAAGUCUUGGUGCUGUUAUGAAUCAAGGUAACUUUCCUAGCUUUCGAGGUCUAGGCACCUCCAGAAUCAAGAGAGGGAAGGGAAAACUCUUGUAUUAUUGCUUUUCUCCAUUAGAUACAUUGUUCUGCUUUAUAUAGACUUUUUCCUGCUACUAACAAUUUCUAAUGGGUCUUGUGGCAUAUUGCCUUGGAGAAAAGGACAAAAACAAAAAAGGAAUCAGCUUCCUAACGGAAUGGUGCCACCUCAGCCAACAAAGGAGAAUUGCUACGUUGCUGCUACGAUGCUGAUUACCACUCCUGCCUGCUAUUUUUCCACAAAAUCCUUGAGGUGCCUUGGACAAAUCUGGAACUUCUUCAAACUGUUUGCAUUCACCAAGCUCAAUUUCCUGUAAAUAGUCAAGUUCCUGUAAAAAAUUCAAAAGGAGAGAGACAUCACAACGGAAAAUCCUCAAAAAAGGAAGAAAAAAAAUGUAAACAUGUGCACAUACCUAUCUUUCUUUACCUGGAUCCCCUGCCAAAGUUGUUUAAGUUUGCUGUGUGGCAUUGGAAUCUCAACAAGAAACUUAGCAAAGAAAGGUGAUGGAGACUGAAAAGGGUAUCCAAUCCACUCAAUGUACCUCAGUUGAUCAGAAAAUGGCUCAAGAGUAGCAGGAAGGUCGAGGAUCUUCUCUACAUGCUUGACGUACUAUCUCCAAAGCCGUUUGUUGCAGCAAGUCAUGCAUUUGUAUUGUUUUGCUUUGUCAAAGCUUUGUCUUUAAGAUCUUUUAUUCUACUAGUUGCCGCAAAACCACAGGCAUCUAAUAUCCUUAUGACAUGAUCUUCCAUUUUUCCUUUUAAAAAAAAAAUACAAUGUCUAGAAAUAUAUUCUUUUGUGGAUCAUCUAAUCCAGUGCAGCUCUCUUUGAACA
Molecule: RNA transcript, 2249 nt
Organism: Glycine soja
Lineage: Eukaryota; Viridiplantae; Streptophyta; Magnoliopsida; Fabales; Fabaceae
Gene name: high mobility group B protein 14-like
Exons: 7
Source: RefSeq, a predicted model, not a curated record